UACAGUGUCGCCGCCAUGCUCGAUGCUAGGUACAAGGGCCGCUACUUUGAUGCAGACAAGAAACAGGGUUUACCUGACAUGUUACAGACACAGCUGAACAAUAUCAAACGUACACAGUGACAGUGCGCACCGAAGAGGACCCAUGACAGAGAGCUGAAACUUCACUGCUUGACAUGUAUGAUGAAAUCCUGGUUGAGAUUGAAAUGACUGAACAAAUGAACAACGAAACAGCACAGCAAUACAACAGGAGUAUAUCCCUCAGACAAUCCGGUGCAUGGACAUCUUGUGUCAGGUGUGAUCCGAGCGUGAGCGUCUAGUUGUGGAGACUACAGCAGAUCGAGCCUGUGGACGGACAGACAUGAGGCGUGACAUGCGGAACAUCAAGC
RNAcentral lists this long non-coding RNA (386 nucleotides) under Salmo salar (Atlantic salmon). Its description in RNAcentral is "lncRNA (ENSSSAG00000119295.1)". The record is from RNAcentral. Lineage: Eukaryota; Metazoa; Chordata; Actinopteri; Salmoniformes; Salmonidae.